RNAcentral lists this ribosomal RNA (497 nucleotides) under uncultured bacterium. RNAcentral's name for it is "partial 16S ribosomal RNA". It matches the Rfam family "Bacterial small subunit ribosomal RNA", at positions 28 to 507 of the family's 1533-position model. The record is from RNAcentral.
GAUGAACGCUGGCGGCGUGCCUAAUACAUGCAAGUCGAGCGAACGGACGAGAAGCUUGCUUUUCUCAUGUUAGCGGCGGACGUGUGAGUAACACGUGGAUAACCUACCUAUAAGACUGGUAUAACUUCGGGAAACCGGAGCUAAUACCGGAUAAUAUUUUGAACCGCAUGGUUCAAAAGUGAAAGACGGUCUUGCUGUCACUUAUAGAUGGAUCCGCGCUGCAUUAGCUAGUUGGUAAGGUAACGGCUUACCAAGGCAACGAUGCCUAGCCGACCUGAGAGGGUGAUCGGCGACAUUGGAACUGAGACGCGGUCCAGGCUACUACGGGAGGCAGCAGUAGGGAAUCUUCCGCAAUGGGCGAAAGCCUGACGGAGCAACGCCGCGUGAGUGAUGAAGGUCUUCGGAUCGUAAAACUCUGUUAUUAGGGAAGAACAGAUGUGUAAGUAACUGUGCACAUCUUGACGGUACCUAAUCAGAAAGCCACGGCUAACUACGUG